UUAGCAUAUCAAUAAGCGGAGGAAAAGAAACCAACCGGGAUUGCCUCAGUAACGGCGAGUGAAGCGGCAAGAGCUCAAAUUUGAAAGCUGGCUCCUUCGGAGUCCGCAUUGUAAUUUGCAGAGGAUGCUUUGGGUGCGGCCCCCGUCUAAGUGCCCUGGAACGGGCCGUCAGAGAGGGUGAGAAUCCCGUCUUGGGCGGGGUGUCCGUGCCCGUGUAAAGCUCCUUCGACGAGUCGAGUUGUUUGGGAAUGCAGCUCUAAAUGGGUGGUAAAUUUCAUCUAAAGCUAAAUACUGGCCGGAGACCGAUAGCGCACAAGUAGAGUGAUCGAAAGAUGAAAAGCACUUUGAAAAGAGAGUUAAACAGCACGUGAAAUUGUUGAAAGGGAAGCGCUUGCGACCAGACUCGCCCGCGGGGUUCAGCCGGCAUUCGUGCCGGUGUACUUCCCCGUGGGCGGGCCAGCGUCGGUUUGGGCGGCCGGUCAAAGGCCCCUGGAAUGUAGUACCCUCCGGGGUACCUUAUAGCCAGGGGUGCAAUGCGGCCAGCCUGGACCGAGGAACGCGCUUCGGCACGGACGCUGGCAUAAUGGUCGUAAACGACCCGUCUUGAAACACGGACCAAGGAGUCUAACAUCUACGCGAGUGUUCGGGUGUCAAACCCGUGCGCGCAGUGAAAGCGAACGGAGGUGGGAGCCCCCUCGCGGGGCGCACCAUCGACCGAUCCUGAUGUCUUCGGAUGGAUUUGAGUAAGAGCGUAAAUGUGGGGACCCGAAAGAUGGUGAACUAUGCCUGAAUAGGGCGAAGCCAGAGGAAACUCUGGUGGAGGCUCGCAGCGGUUCUCACGUCAAAUCUAUCUUA
This 855-nucleotide ribosomal RNA is filed under the name Aspergillus tubingensis. RNAcentral describes it as "LSU rRNA". It matches the Rfam family "Eukaryotic large subunit ribosomal RNA", at positions 35 to 906 of the family's 3401-position model. Lineage: Eukaryota; Fungi; Ascomycota; Eurotiomycetes; Eurotiales; Aspergillaceae. The record is from RNAcentral.